RNAcentral lists this ribosomal RNA (254 nucleotides) under uncultured bacterium. RNAcentral's name for it is "partial 16S ribosomal RNA". It matches the Rfam family "Bacterial small subunit ribosomal RNA", at positions 524 to 776 of the family's 1533-position model. The record is from RNAcentral.
GACGUAGGGCGCGAGCGUUGUCCGGAUUUAUUGGGCGUAAAGAGCUCGUAGGCGGCUUGUCGCGUCAACUGUGAAAACCCGUGGCUCAACCAUGUGGUCUGCAGUCGAUACGGGCAGGCUAGAAUUCGGUAGGGGAGACUGGAAUUCCUGGUGUAGCGGUGAAAUGCGCAGAUAUCAGGAGGAACACCGGUGGCGAAGGCGGCGUCCUGGACCAACACUGACACUGAAAAGCGAAAGCCAGGGGAGCAAACGGG